UACAGAGGUCACAAGCGUUGUUCGGAUUCACUGGGCGUAAAGGGUGCGUAGGCGGUCGGGUAAGUCUGAUGUGAAAUCUCCAAGCCUAACUUGGAAACUGCAUUGGAUACUAUCCGGCUCGAGGAAUGGAGGGGAGACUGGAAUACUUGGUGUAGCAGUGAAAUGCGUAGAUAUCAAGUGGAACACCAGUGGCGAAGGCGAGUCUCUGGACAUUUCCUGACGCUGAGGCACGAAAGCCAGGGGAGCAAACAGG
This 253-nucleotide ribosomal RNA is filed under the name uncultured bacterium. RNAcentral's name for it is "partial 16S ribosomal RNA". It matches the Rfam family "Bacterial small subunit ribosomal RNA", at positions 524 to 776 of the family's 1533-position model. The record is from RNAcentral.